AGGCCGUAAACCCAAGGUUUCCAGGGGAAGGUUCGUCCGCCCUGGGUUAGUCGGGACCUAAGCUGAGGCCGAAAGGCGUAGGUGAUGGACAACAGGUUGAUAUUCCUGUACUACCGAUAACCGUUUGAGAGAAGGGAUGACACAGUAGGAUAAGCUAAGCACACUGUUGGUUAUGUGUGCCCAAGCAUUGAGGCAGUCAAAGUAGGCAAAUCCGCUUUGAUAAUGCUGGGAUGUGAUGGGGAGCGAAAUUUAGUAGCGAAGUAGCUGAUUUCACACUGUCAAGAAAAGUCUCUAUCGAGGUUAAAGGUACCCGUACCGCAAACCGACACAGGUGGGUGAGGAGAGUAUCCUAAGGCCAGCGAGAGAACUGUUGUUAAGGAACUCGGCAAAAUGACCCCGUAACUUAGGGAUAAGGGGUGCCACCAUCA
Molecule: ribosomal RNA, 428 nt
Filed under: Clostridioides difficile
Lineage: Bacteria; Bacillati; Bacillota; Clostridia; Peptostreptococcales; Peptostreptococcaceae
Description: partial 23S ribosomal RNA
Rfam family: Bacterial large subunit ribosomal RNA
Source: RNAcentral